CCUACGGGUGGCAGCAGUGGGGAAUAUUGGGCAAUGGGCGCAAGCCUGACCCAGCAACGCCGCGUGAAGGAAGAAGGCUUUCGGGUUGUAAACUUCUUUUAUGAGGGACGAAAGAAAUGACGGUACCUCAUGAAUAAGCCACGGCUAACUACGUGCCAGCAGCCGCGGUAAUACGUAGGUGGCAAGCGUUAUCCGGAUUUACUGGGUGUAAAGGGCGUGUAGGCGGGACUGCAAGUCAGAUGUGAAAAUUAUGGGCUCAACCCAUAACCUGCAUUUGAAACUGUAGUUCUUGAGUGAUGGAGAGGCAGGCGGAAUUCCGUGUGUAGCGGUGAAAUGCGUAGAUAUACGGAGGAACACCAGUGGCGAAGGCGGCCUGCUGGACAUUAACUGACGCUGAGGCGCGAAAGCGUGGGGAGCAAACAGGAUUAGAUACCCUUGUAGUC
RNAcentral lists this ribosomal RNA (443 nucleotides) under uncultured bacterium. RNAcentral's name for it is "partial 16S ribosomal RNA". It matches the Rfam family "Bacterial small subunit ribosomal RNA", at positions 338 to 795 of the family's 1533-position model. The record is from RNAcentral.